This 439-nucleotide ribosomal RNA is filed under the name uncultured bacterium. RNAcentral describes it as "partial 16S ribosomal RNA". It matches the Rfam family "Bacterial small subunit ribosomal RNA", at positions 338 to 795 of the family's 1533-position model. The record is from RNAcentral.
CCUACGGGAGGCAGCAGUGGGGAAUAUUGCACAAUGGGCGAAAGCCUGAUGCAGCAACGCCGCGUGAGCGAUGAAGUCCUUCGGGUCGUAAAGCUCUGUCCUCAAGGAAGAUAAUGACGGUACCUGAGGAGGAAGCCCCGGCUAACUACGUGCCAGCAGCCGCGGUAAUACGUAGGGGGCUAGCGUUAUCCGGAUUUACUGGGCGUAAGGGGUGCGUAGGUGGGUUGCUAAGUCAGAGGUGAAAGGCUACGGCUAAACCGUAGUAAGCCUUGGAAACUGGGGAACUUGAGUGCAGGAGAGGAGAGUGGAAUUCCUAGUGUAGCGGUGAAAUGCGUAGAUAUUAGGAGGAACACCAGUUGCGAAGGCGGCUUUCUGGACUGUAACUGACGCUGAGGCACGAAAGCGUGGGGAGCAAACAGGAUUAGAUACCCGGGUAGUC